RNAcentral lists this unclassified non-coding RNA (288 nucleotides) under uncultured fungus. RNAcentral's name for it is "partial contains 5.8S ribosomal RNA, internal transcribed spacer 2, and large subunit ribosomal RNA". Lineage: Eukaryota; Fungi. The record is from RNAcentral.
AACGCAAAUUGCACUCUCUUCGGAGAGUAUGCCUGUUUGAGGGUCGGUAUAAUAAAAAAUCGGUGUGUUGCCUUUUGGUGGCAUUCCGGAGUAUGGGUUACCUUAAAACAAUUAAGUGACUUAAAAUUGACAUCUUUUUUGCGCACUUUUAAGACGACGUAAAAUAAAUUGAUUUUUAUUCGUCUGUCCUGGUGGCAAAAGUUUAUUAGAUGCGAUCAUAUCGAGUGGUUUGUGUCUAUAAGAUCAUGAUUCGACCUCAAAUCAGGUAGGAGUACCCGCUGAACUUAA